Molecule: ribosomal RNA, 319 nt
Filed under: uncultured eukaryote
Lineage: Eukaryota
Description: partial 18S ribosomal RNA
Rfam family: Eukaryotic small subunit ribosomal RNA
Source: RNAcentral
CCCCUAGAUGUUCUGGGCCGCACGCGCGCUACACUGAACAGUUCAACAAGUCUUAACCUUGGCCGAUAGGUCUGGUAAUCUUUGAACGCUGUUCGUGAUUGGGAUAGACCUUUGCAAUUAUGGGUCUUCAACGAGGAAUUCCUAGUAAACGCAAGUCAUCAGCUUGCAUUGAUUACGUCCCUGCCCUUUGUACACACCGCCCGUCGCACCUACCGAUUGAAUGGUCCGGUGAAAUCUCGGGACGGCGGCUUGGUCGCUUGCGUCCGACUGCUGAAACUUGAUUAAACCAUAUCAUUUAGAGGAAGGUGAAGUCGUANCA